Molecule: ribosomal RNA, 254 nt
Filed under: uncultured bacterium
Lineage: Bacteria
Description: partial 16S ribosomal RNA
Rfam family: Bacterial small subunit ribosomal RNA
Source: RNAcentral
AACGUAGGAGGCGAGCGUUAUCCGGAUUUACUGGGUGUAAAGCGCGAGCAGGCGGUUCUGUAAGUGGUGUGUGAAAGCGCUCAGGCUCAACCGGGCGAGGACGCGCCAGACUGCAGGGCUGGAGGUAGGUAGAGGCGAGUGGAAUUCCGGGUGUAGUGGUGAAAUGCGUAGAGAUCCGGAGGAACACCAGUGGCGAAGGCGACUCGCUGGGCCUGACCUGACGCUCAGACGCGAAAGCAUGGGGAGCGAACGGG